Babjeviella inositovora NRRL Y-12698 is the source of this 72-nucleotide transfer RNA. It matches the Rfam family "tRNA". From Rfam's summary of the family: Transfer RNA (tRNA) molecules are approximately 80 nucleotides in length. Their secondary structure includes four short double-helical elements and three loops (D, anti-codon, and T loops). The record is from Rfam. Lineage: Eukaryota; Fungi; Ascomycota; Pichiomycetes; Serinales.
CAGAUCGUAGCCUAAUGGCCAGGCACUUACAUUGGGAGUAAGAUUAUGGUAGUUCGAGUCUACCCGAUCUGA